Molecule: unclassified non-coding RNA, 203 nt
Filed under: Hevea brasiliensis (rubber tree)
Lineage: Eukaryota; Viridiplantae; Streptophyta; Magnoliopsida; Malpighiales; Euphorbiaceae
Source: RNAcentral
UCCAUGAAUCUCCGAGCCCACAAGAUGCCCCUGCACACCAGUUUCCAUUGACGACUAAGCGCAUAUAAAUUAACCGAAGAAAGCGAACCCAAAAAAAUUCUCAAAAUCAAACAAUCUGCAAGUAGAAAGCAAUCAAUCGAAGAUUAUUAUUAUUACAAUUUAGGGGAAAAAGGUAAAAAUUUCCAAAAAUAAUCUCACAAUUG